AGCAGUCGCCGCGGUAAUGCGAAGGGGGCUAGCGUUGUUCGGAAUUACUGGGCGUAAAGCGCACGUAGGCGGAUAUUUAAGUCAGGGGUGAAAUCCCAGAUCUCAACUCUGGAACUGCCUUUGAUACUGGGUAUCUUGAGUAUGGAAGAGGUGAGUGGAAUUCCGAGUGUAGAGGUGAAAUUCGUAGAUAUUCGGAGGAACACCAGUGGCGAAGGCGGCUCACUGGUCCAUUACUGACGCUGAGGUGCGAAAGCGUGGGGAGCAAACAGGAUUAGAUACCCCUGUAGUCCCUGUCUCUUAUAC
Molecule: ribosomal RNA, 303 nt
Filed under: uncultured bacterium
Lineage: Bacteria
Description: partial 16S ribosomal RNA
Rfam family: Bacterial small subunit ribosomal RNA
Source: RNAcentral